Molecule: ribosomal RNA, 1593 nt
Filed under: Triticum aestivum (bread wheat)
Lineage: Eukaryota; Viridiplantae; Streptophyta; Magnoliopsida; Poales; Poaceae
Description: partial small subunit ribosomal RNA
Source: RNAcentral
AUGGCGGAGGGAUCUUCCAGGAGUUAUCCCUUCGGGGGAAGCUUGGUGUUGGACGACCCGGACGUCGUCGAGGUGCCGCCGGAGGUCGCCGCUGGAUGGAACUCCGUCAGCCAGAAGCGGAAGCGGGCCCAGGUUGCUCCUCAUGAAAUAAUCGAACUUGAUGCUGAUGAUGAUCAUGACGGAGUUACAAUCAUUGAUGCAAAGACAUCAGAUUACAAGAAUAAACAAGCUGUUGGUCAUCCUGUAAAUUGCUGGAAGAAUGCAAAGAUUGGCUUGGCGGCCGAGGACAUUGCUUGCCCAAGUGCUAUUUCUUCCAAAGUUGUUUAUCCGUGGGAUGCCCUGGGAACUUACCAUGGAGGUCCCAAACUUCCAAUUUAUGGCUUGCCUAUGGAUUUUGCUGGCCCAAGUUCUUUUGCUUCUUAUCCAUGGCAAAGCGUAGGAACUUACCAUACAGGUACAUUGCCUCCGGCUUAUUUUGAUGAUGUUUUGGGGGCAGUUGGAGAGGAACACUACGCUUAUGAUGAAGAUGAUUUCAGUAACUAUAGUUACAACACUCCUCUGAUGGAAAACGAUAGCAGCUUUAACUUGAAUGUGGAUCAUUACGGCUUUCCACCUAGUGUGGGGUUGUAUUUACCAAGGGGACAUGUGGCCCCUGCUGAUUCAACGCAGCAGCGGCAGCAAGUUAAGAUUGUGGAAAGUGGAAUUGAGGAAAAGUAUAAGGCAUUUAAGCAGUUUGAUACUGUUGGUGACCACAGUGAUCACUUUUAUUUGAAGUUUCGGACCGUGAAGAAGCCAUCAAAGGACUGGGUGAAGAGAAUUCAGCAUGAAUGGAAAGUUCUAGGGAAAGAUUUACCAGAUACAAUAUUUGUAAGAGCUUAUGAGGAUAGAAUGGACCUGCUUAGAGCUGUCAUAGUUGGGCCUGCAGGCACUCCUUACCAUGACGGGUUGUUCUUUUUUGAUGUCUAUUUCCCUUCCCAGUAUCCAUGUAAACCUCCUCAAGUGAAUUACCGCUCUGGAGGUCUGCGGCUUAAUCCAAAUCUCUAUGCCUGUGGGAAAGUCUGCCUUAGCCUCUUAAACACAUGGACUGGUAGUGGGUGUGAGAUGUGGAACCCAUCCACUUCAACUAUGUUGCAGGUCCUGGUCUCCAUUCAAGCCUUGGUGCUGAAUGCUAAACCUUAUUUCAAUGAACCUGGUCAUUCGAUGUAUGCUAACACACCCCUUGGGGAGAAGCAGUCCCUGGCUUAUAAUGAAGAGACUUUUCUGCUAUCCUGUAGAACCAUGCUGUAUUCUCUUCGCAAUCCACCAAAGCAUUUUGAGCACUUCAUUGGUGGACAUUUCCGGAAGUAUGGGCGUGACAUCCUCGUAGGAUGCAAAGCUUACAUGGGCGGUGCCCAAGUUGGAUGCCUUGCUGGAGACGGAGUGCAAGAUGUCGACGAGGGUGACAAAAGCUGCUCACAAAAUUUCAAGUGCUCGCUAGAGAUAUUAUUUAAGGGUCUCAUUAACGAAUUCACUGAUUUAGGAGUAGCUUGUCAUGAAUUCCAGGCCCAGAUUGUGAACUCUGGAGCUGCAGCAGACACCACAUUAAGGCUAUAA